UUGACCUCAAAUCAGGUAGGACUACCCGCUGAACUUAAGCAUAUCAAUAAGCGGAGGAAAAGAAACUAACAAGGAUUCCCCUAGUAACUGCGAGUGAAGCGGGAAAAGCUCAAAUUUAAAAUCUGGCGGUCUUGCGGCCGUCCGAGUUGUAAUCUGGAGAAGCGUUUAUCCGCGUCGGACCGUGUACAAGUCUUCUGGAAGGGAGCGUCGUAGAGGGUGAGAAUCCCGUCUUUGACACGGACAACCGGUGCUUUUGUGAUGCGCUCUCGAGAGUCGAGUGUUUGGGAUGCAGCUCAAAUGGGUGGUAAUUCCAUCUAAAGCUAAUAUUGCGAGAGACGAUAGCGACAGUACCGUGAGGAAGAUGAAAGCACU
Molecule: ribosomal RNA, 372 nt
Filed under: uncultured Piloderma
Lineage: Eukaryota; Fungi; Basidiomycota; Agaricomycetes; Atheliales; Atheliaceae
Description: eukaryotic LSU rRNA
Rfam family: Eukaryotic large subunit ribosomal RNA
Source: RNAcentral